RNAcentral lists this ribosomal RNA (505 nucleotides) under uncultured bacterium. RNAcentral describes it as "partial 16S ribosomal RNA". It matches the Rfam family "Bacterial small subunit ribosomal RNA", at positions 28 to 507 of the family's 1533-position model. The record is from RNAcentral.
GACGAACGCUGGCGGCGUGCCUAAUACAUGCAAGUAGAACGCACAGUUUAUACCGUAGCUUGCUACACCAUAGACUGUGAGUUGCGAACGGGUGAGUAACGCGUAGGUAACCUGCCUGGUAGCGGGGGAUAACUAUUGGAAACGAUAGCUAAUACCGCAUAAUAUUGAUUAUUGCAUGAUAAUUGAUUGAAAGAUGCUAUUGCAUCACUACCGGAUGGACCUGCGUUGUAUUAGCUAGUAGGUGAGGUAACGGCUCACCUAGGCGACGAUACAUAGCCGACCUGAGAGGGUGAUCGGCCACACUGGGACUGAGACACGGCCCAGACUCCUACGGGAGGCAGCAGUAGGGAAUCUUCGGCAAUGGACGAAAGUCUGACCGAGCAACGCCGCGUGAGUGAAGAAGGGUUUCGGAUCGUAAAGCUCUGUUGUAAGAGAAGAACGGGUGUGAGAGUGGAAAGUUCACACUGUGACGGUAUCUUACCAGAAAGAGACGGCUAACUACGUG